GACGAACGCUGGCGGCGUGCUUAACACAUGCAAGUCGAACGGAAAGGCCCUGCUUUUGUGUGGUGCUCGAGUGGCGAACGGGUGUGUAACACGUGAGUAACCUGCCCUUGACUGUGGGAUAACUUCAGGAAACUGGGGCUAAUACCGGCUAGGAGCUCCUGCUGCAUGGUGGGGGUUGGAAAGUUUCGGCGGGUGGGGAUGGACUCGCGGCUUAUCAGCUUGUUGGUGGGGUAGUGGCUUACCAAGGCUUUGACGGAUAGCCGGCCUGAGAGGGUGGACAGCGACAUUGGGACUGAGAUACGGCGCAGACUCCUACAGGGGGCAGCAGUGGGGAGUAUUGCACAGCGAGCGGACGCCUGAUGAGGCAGCGUCGCGAUCGGAAAGACGGCUUUCGGGUUGUAAACCGCUUUCGCCUGUGACGAAGCGUGAGUGACGGUAAUGGGUAAAGAAGCACCGGCUAACUACGUG
Molecule: ribosomal RNA, 468 nt
Filed under: uncultured bacterium
Lineage: Bacteria
Description: partial 16S ribosomal RNA
Rfam family: Bacterial small subunit ribosomal RNA
Source: RNAcentral